RNAcentral lists this ribosomal RNA (232 nucleotides) under uncultured bacterium. RNAcentral describes it as "partial 16S ribosomal RNA". It matches the Rfam family "Bacterial small subunit ribosomal RNA", at positions 99 to 334 of the family's 1533-position model. The record is from RNAcentral.
CGGACGGGUGAGUAAUGCUUGGGAAUCUAGCUUAUGGAGGGGGGUAACUACGGGAAACUGUAGCUAAUACCGCGUAAUAUCGGAAGAUUAAAGUGUGGGACCUUCGGGCCACAUGCCAUAGGAUGAGCCCAAGUGGGAUUAGGUAGUUGGUGAGGUAAAGGCUCACCAAGCCGACGAUCUCUAGCUGGUCUGAGAGGAUGACCAGCCACACUGGGACUGAGACACGGCCCAG